Molecule: ribosomal RNA, 323 nt
Filed under: uncultured Streptococcus sp.
Lineage: Bacteria; Bacillati; Bacillota; Bacilli; Lactobacillales; Streptococcaceae
Description: bacterial SSU rRNA
Rfam family: Bacterial small subunit ribosomal RNA
Source: RNAcentral
GCUCGUGUCGUGAGAUGUUGGGUUAAGUCCCGCAACGAGCGCAACCCCUAUUGUUAGUUGCCAUCAUUCAGUUGGGCACUCUAGCGAGACUGCCGGUAAUAAACCGGAGGAAGGUGGGGAUGACGUCAAAUCAUCAUGCCCCUUAUGACCUGGGCUACACACGUGCUACAAUGGUUGGUACAACGAGUUGCGAGUCGGUGACGGCGAGCUAAUCUCUUAAAGCCAAUCUCAGUUCGGAUCGCAGUCUGCGACUCGACUGCGUGAAGUCGGAAUCGCUAGUAAUCGUGAAUCAGAAUGUCACGGUGAAUACGUUCCCGGGCCUU